GGACUACAGGGGUUUCUAAUCCUGUUUGCUACCCAAGCCUUCGUCCCUCAACGUCAGUUUUUAGAUAAAAGGUUGCUUUAGCCGCUGCCAGUCGUCAUGGUAUCAACAAAUUUUAUCUCUACUCCAUGAAUACUCCCCUUCUCAUAUAAAACUCUAGUAAUAUCGUACCCUAUUUUGGGCUAAUAAUACUAUCUAGGUACCCUUUAAACCUAAUAAAGAUGAAUAACACUAGUCUUUUACGUAUUACCGCGGCGGCUGGCAC
This 262-nucleotide ribosomal RNA is filed under the name uncultured bacterium. RNAcentral's name for it is "partial 16S ribosomal RNA". The record is from RNAcentral.